GGCCUUAAAAUGCUGAGACAGAGUUAUGCACAGACUGGAAUAAAAAGCCAAUCUCUCUCGUGGCACAGGGAAGGAGAUACAAGCUCGUUUACAUGUGAUAGAUCUAACAAAGGCAUCUACCGAAGUCUGGUCUGGAUAGACGGCACAGGGAGCUCUUAGGUAAGCGCUGCUGGUUGGAGGACAUUCCUGAGUCCAGCUUUGCAGCCUUUGUGCAACAGUACUUUCCCAGGAUCCACAGGAAAUACUCAGAGUCCACCUGGACAUUUUACUUAUAUUCAGUUUCCAAGUGUCAGAGGGGUUCAGGACUGUCUGGCCUGGGGGCCUCCUCAUGACCUCAAUUCAGGAUUAUCUACUCAAAGCAUUAAACAAAAGGAAAUACAUUUUCAGGAUGAAGGCUGCUCUUUUAAGCCCUGCUGAAGAAACCAUUUCAAACAGGAUUGGAAUAGGGAAACCCGGCACUCAGCUCGGCGCAAGCCGGCGGUGCCUUCAGACUAGAGAGCCUCUCCUCCGGUGCGCUGCAAGUAGGGCCUCGGCUCGAGGUCAACAUUCUAGUUGUCCAGCGCUCCCUCUCCGGCACCUCGGUGAGGCUAGUUGACCCGACAGGCGCGGAUCAUGAGCAGCUGCAGGAGAAUGAAGAGCGGGGACGUAAUGAGGCCGAACCAGAGCUCCCGAGUCUGCUCCGCCAGCUUCUGGCACAACAGCAUCUCGAAGACGAACUUGAGACUCAGGACCGUGAGUACCCAGAAAAGGCGGAGCACCGCCAGCCGCUUCUCUCCAUCCUGGAAGAGGCGCACGGACACGAUGGUGGUGAAGUAGGUGCUGAGCCCGUCAGCGGCGAAGAAAGGCACGAACACGUUCCACCAGGAGAGGCCCGGGACCAGGCCAUCCACACGCAGUGCCAGCAGCACAGAGAACACCAACAGGGCCAGCAGGUGCACGAAGAUCUCGAAGGUGGCGAAGCCUAGCCACUGCACCAGCUCCCGGAGCGAGAAGAGCAUCGCGCCCGUUGAGCGCGGGCCGGGGCCCGGCCGAGCGUGCCACCCGCGGGGCUGCG
RNAcentral lists this long non-coding RNA (1054 nucleotides) under Pan troglodytes (chimpanzee). Its description in RNAcentral is "long non-coding RNA NONPTRT017967". Lineage: Eukaryota; Metazoa; Chordata; Mammalia; Primates; Hominidae. The record is from RNAcentral.